This is a non-coding RNA of Pelobates cultripes (western spadefoot toad), 328 nucleotides long. Lineage: Eukaryota; Metazoa; Chordata; Amphibia; Anura; Pelobatidae. The record is from the annotation of a GenBank genome assembly.
CCAAUAUUAAUAUCCAACAAAGUAUCCGAUCUACCAAUGAAUUUCUAUGAAACGUCCAGCAAAACAUGAUACGAAUUACUGAUACUUUGUAGCAAGUAAUAUCUGCUAGAACACAUAAACGUAUUUUAACGCCAAGAAGGUCUUUAUUUGAAAUAUUAUUGACCAACAAAAAAUGCCAUAUAUGGGAAGAACAGAAAGACUGAGGGGUCUUUUAAGUCAUCUCCCCCAAUAUGUAAAUAUUGCAUUUAAUAGCGGUUUUCCCCUAAUGAUAUCAAAUAUGAUUUCAUGGUUUACCUUGCAGUGACUAAGGGAAAGUCUUAGAAAUAUG